AUACUAAAGCCGAACGCCCUCAAAGCUGUUUAACGCUUCCGAGUUAAGAAGCCCCACUACGAAAGUGGCUUUACCCCACCUGACCCCACGAAAGCUGUGAAACAAACUGGGAUUAGAUACCCCACUAUGCUCAGCCCUAAAAUUUGAUAGGCCCCUACGCCCCCUAUCCGCCCGGGUACUACGAGCAUCAGCUUGAAACCCAAAGGACUUGGCGGUGCUUCACAUCCGUCUAGAGGAGCCUGUUCUAGAACCGAUAACCCCCGUUAAACCUCACCCUCCCUUGUUAAUACCGCCUAUAUACCGCCGUCGUCAGCCUACCCUGUGAAGGCCAGAGUGAGCAGAUUGGUAAGACCCAAAACGUCAGGUCGAGGUGUAGUGUAUGGAAGGGGAAGAAAUGGGCUACAUUUCCUAAUCCAGGAAAUACGAAUAAUGUACUGAAAUAAGCAUUAGAAGGUGGAUUUAGCAGUAAGCAGAAAAACAGAGUGUUUCGCUGAAGAUUCGGCAAUAAAGCACGUACACAUCGCCCGUCACUCUCCCCGAGCUACCUAAAAAGUCAUAUCUGCAAAGGGGAGGCAAGUCGUAACAUGGUAACGUACCGGAAGGUGCGCUUGG
This 612-nucleotide ribosomal RNA is filed under the name Neoglyphidodon melas (bowtie damselfish). Its description in RNAcentral is "partial 12S ribosomal RNA". It matches the Rfam family "Bacterial small subunit ribosomal RNA", at positions 653 to 1521 of the family's 1533-position model. The record is from RNAcentral. Lineage: Eukaryota; Metazoa; Chordata; Actinopteri; Pomacentridae.